GAGGGUAUAGCUCAGUGGUAGAGUAUAUAUGCUUAGCAUCCACAAGGUCCUGGGUUCAAUCCUCAGUACCCCUA
RNAcentral lists this transfer RNA (74 nucleotides) under Camelus bactrianus (Bactrian camel). It matches the Rfam family "tRNA". From Rfam's summary of the family: Transfer RNA (tRNA) molecules are approximately 80 nucleotides in length. RNAcentral also lists the same sequence under 3 other names. The record is from Rfam by way of RNAcentral. Lineage: Eukaryota; Metazoa; Chordata; Mammalia; Artiodactyla; Camelidae.